UUGAAGAGUUUGAUCAUGGCUCAGAUUGAACGCUGGCGGCAGGCCUAACACAUGCAAGUCGAACGGUAACAGGAAUCAGCUUGCUGAUUCGCUGACGAGUGGCGGACGGGUGAGUAAUGUCUGGGAAACUGCCUGAUGGAGGGGGAUAACUACUGGAAACGGUAGCUAAUACCGCAUAACGUCGCAAGACCAAAGAGGGGGACCUUCGGGCCUCUUGCCAUCAGAUGUGCCCAGAUGGGAUUAGCUAGUAGGUGGGGUAACGGCUCACCUAGGCGACGAUCCCUAGCUGGUCUGAGAGGAUGACCAGCCACACUGGAACUGAGACACGGUCCAGACUCCUACGGGAGGCAGCAGUGGGGAAUAUUGCACAAUGGGCGCAAGCCUGAUGCAGCCAUGCCGCGUGUAUGAAGAAGGCCUUCGGGUUGUAAAGUACUUUCAGCGGGGAGGAAGGGAGUAAAGUUAAUACCUUUGCUCAUUGACGUUACCCGCAGAAGAAGCACCGGCUAACUCCGUGCCAGCAGCCGCGGUAAUACGGAGGGUGCAAGCGUUAAUCGGAAUUACUGGGCGUAAAGCGCACGCAGGCGGUUUGUUAAGUCAGAUGUGAAAUCCCCGGGCUCAACCUGGGAACUGCAUCUGAUACUGGCAAGCUUGAGUCUCGUAGAGGGGGGUAGAAUUCCAGGUGUAGCGGUGAAAUGCGUAGAGAUCUGGAGGAAUACCGGUGGCGAAGGCGGCCCCCUGGACGAAGACUGACGCUCAGGUGCGAAAGCGUGGGGAGCAAACAGGAUUAGAUACCCUGGUAGUCCACGCCGUAAACGAUGUCGACUUGGAGGUUGUGCCCUUGAGGCGUGGCUUCCGGAGCUAACGCGUUAAGUCGACCGCCUGGGGAGUACGGCCGCAAGGUUAAAACUCAAAUGAAUUGACGGGGGCCCGCACAAGCGGUGGAGCAUGUGGUUUAAUUCGAUGCAACGCGAAGAACCUUACCUGGUCUUGACAUCCACAGAACUUUCCAGAGAUGGAUUGGUGCCUUCGGGAACUGUGAGACAGGUGCUGCAUGGCUGUCGUCAGCUCGUGUUGUGAAAUGUUGGGUUAAGUCCCGCAACGAGCGCAACCCUUAUCCUUUGUUGCCAGCGGUCCGGCCGGGAACUCAAAGGAGACUGCCAGUGAUAAACUGGAGGAAGGUGGGGAUGACGUCAAGUCAUCAUGGCCCUUACGACCAGGGCUACACACGUGCUACAAUGGCGCAUACAAAGAGAAGCGACCUCGCGAGAGCAAGCGGACCUCAUAAAGUGCGUCGUAGUCCGGAUUGGAGUCUGCAACUCGACUCCAUGAAGUCGGAAUCGCUAGUAAUCGUGGAUCAGAAUGCCACGGUGAAUACGUUCCCGGGCCUUGUACACACCGCCCGUCACACCAUGGGAGUGGGUUGCAAAAGAAGUAGGUAGCUUAACCUUCGGGAGGGCGCUUACCACUUUGUGAUUCAUGACUGGGGUGAAGUCGUAACAAGGUAACCGUAGGGGAACCUGCGGUUGGAUCACCUCCUU
RNAcentral lists this ribosomal RNA (1538 nucleotides) under Escherichia coli. RNAcentral's name for it is "bacterial SSU rRNA". It matches the Rfam family "Bacterial small subunit ribosomal RNA". The record is from RNAcentral. Lineage: Bacteria; Pseudomonadati; Pseudomonadota; Gammaproteobacteria; Enterobacterales; Enterobacteriaceae.